RNAcentral lists this ribosomal RNA (491 nucleotides) under uncultured bacterium. RNAcentral describes it as "partial 16S ribosomal RNA". It matches the Rfam family "Bacterial small subunit ribosomal RNA", at positions 29 to 507 of the family's 1533-position model. The record is from RNAcentral.
GUGAACGCUGGCGAUAGGCCUAACACAUGCAAGUCGAACGGCAGCACAGUAAGAGCUUGCUCUUACGGGUGGCGAGUGGCGGGCGGGUGAGGAAUACAUCGGAAUCUACUUUUUCGUGGGGGAUAACGUAGGGAAACUUACGCUAAUACCGCAUACGACCUACGGGUGAAAGCAGGGGAUCUUCGGACCUUGCGCGAUUGAAUGAGCCGAUGUCGGAUUAGCUAGUUGGCGGGGUAAAGGCCCACCAAGGCGACGAUCCGUAGCUGGUCUGAGAGGGUGAUCAGCCACACUGGAACUGAGACACGGUCCAGACUCCUACGGGAGGCAGCAGUGGGGAAUAUUGGACAAUGGGCGCAAGCCUGAUCCAGCCAUACCGCGUGGGUGAAGAAGGCCUUCGGGUUGUAAAGCCCUUUUGUUGGGAAAGAAAAGCAGCAGGUUAAUACCCCGCUGUUCUGACGGUACCCAAAGAAUAAGCACCGGCUAACUUCGUG